Molecule: ribosomal RNA, 2907 nt
Filed under: Pectobacterium brasiliense
Lineage: Bacteria; Pseudomonadati; Pseudomonadota; Gammaproteobacteria; Enterobacterales; Pectobacteriaceae
Description: 23S ribosomal RNA
Rfam family: Bacterial large subunit ribosomal RNA
Source: RNAcentral
GGUUAAGCGACUAAGCGUACACGGUGGAUGCCUAGGCAGUCAGAGGCGAUGAAGGGCGUGCUAAUCUGCGAUAAGCGUCGGUAAGCUGAUAUGAAGCGUUAUACCCGACGAUACCCGAAUGGGGAAACCCAGUGUGUUUCGACACACUAUCAUGACAUGAAUACAUAGUGUCAUGAGGCGAACCGGGGGAACUGAAACAUCUCAGUACCCCGAGGAAAAGAAAUCAACCGAGAUUCCCCCAGUAGCGGCGAGCGAACGGGGAGGAGCCCAGAACCUGAAUCAGUUUGUGUGUUAGUGGAAGCGUCUGGAAAGUCGCACAGUAAAGGGUGAUAGUCCCGUACACAAAAAUGCACAAGUUGUGAGUUCGAUGAGUAGGGCGGGACACGUGACAUCCUGUCUGAAUAUGGGGGGACCAUCCUCCAAGGCUAAAUACUCCUGACUGACCGAUAGUGAACCAGUACCGUGAGGGAAAGGCGAAAAGAACCCCGGCGAGGGGAGUGAAAUAGAACCUGAAACCGUGUACGUACAAGCAGUGGGAGCCUACUUGUUAGGUGACUGCGUACCUUUUGUAUAAUGGGUCAGCGACUUAUAUUCUGUAGCAAGGUUAACCGUAUAGGGGAGCCGCAGGGAAACCGAGUCUUAACUGGGCGUUAAGUUGCAGGGUAUAGACCCGAAACCCGGUGAUCUAGCCAUGGGCAGGUUGAAGGUUGGGUAACACUAACUGGAGGACCGAACCGACUAAUGUUGAAAAAUUAGCGGAUGACUUGUGGCUGGGGGUGAAAGGCCAAUCAAACCGGGAGAUAGCUGGUUCUCCCCGAAAGCUAUUUAGGUAGCGCCUCGUGAAUUCAUCUUCGGGGGUAGAGCACUGUUUCGGCUAGGGGGUCAUCCCGACUUACCAACCCGAUGCAAACUACGAAUACCGAAGAAUGUUAUCACGGGAGACACACGGCGGGUGCUAACGUUCGUCGUGAAGAGGGAAACAACCCAGACCGCCAGCUAAGGUCCCAAAGUCAUGGUUAAGUGGGAAACGAUGUGGGAAGGCAUAGACAGCCAGGAUGUUGGCUUAGAAGCAGCCAUCAUUUAAAGAAAGCGUAAUAGCUCACUGGUCGAGUCGGCCUGCGCGGAAGAUGUAACGGGGCUAAACCAUGCACCGAAGCUGCGGCAGCGACACUUAGGUGUUGUUGGGUAGGGGAGCGUUCUGUAAGCCUGCGAAGGUGGCCUGUGAGGGCUGCUGGAGGUAUCAGAAGUGCGAAUGCUGACAUAAGUAACGAUAAUGCGGGUGAAAAACCCGCACGCCGGAAGACCAAGGGUUCCUGUCCAACGUUAAUCGGGGCAGGGUGAGUCGACCCCUAAGGCGAGGCUGAAAAGCGUAGUCGAUGGGAAACAGGUUAAUAUUCCUGUACUCGGUGUUACUGCGAAGGGGGGACGGAGAAAGCUAGGUUAUCCGGGCGACGGUUGUCCCGGUUUAAGCGUGAAGGUGGAUGACUUUGGUAAAUCCGGGUCAUCGUUAACACUGAGGCGUGAUGACGAGUCACUACGGUGAUGAAGUAACCGAUGCUACGCUUCCAGGAAAAGCCUCUAAGCUCCAGGUAACAUCAAAUCGUACCCCAAACCGACACAGGUGGUCAGGUAGAGAAUACUCAGGCGCUUGAGAGAACUCGGGUGAAGGAACUAGGCAAAAUGGUGCCGUAACUUCGGGAGAAGGCACGCUGAUGGUAGGUGAAGUGAUUUGCUCAUGGAGCUGAAAUCAGUCGAAGAUACCAGCUGGCUGCAACUGUUUAAUAAAAACACAGCACUGUGCAAACACGAAAGUGGACGUAUACGGUGUGACGCCUGCCCGGUGCCGGAAGGUUAAUUGAUGGGGUCAGCCGCAAGGCGAAGCUCUUGAUCGAAGCCCCGGUAAACGGCGGCCGUAACUAUAACGGUCCUAAGGUAGCGAAAUUCCUUGUCGGGUAAGUUCCGACCUGCACGAAUGGCGUAAUGAUGGCCAGGCUGUCUCCACCCGAGACUCAGUGAAAUUGAACUCGCUGUGAAGAUGCAGUGUACCCGCGGCAAGACGGAAAGACCCCGUGAACCUUUACUAUAGCUUGACACUGAACCUUGAGCCUUGAUGUGUAGGAUAGGUGGGAGGCUUUGAAGCGUGGACGCCAGUCUGCGUGGAGCCAACCUUGAAAUACCACCCUUUAAUGUUUGAUGUUCUAACGUGGACCCGUGAUCCGGGUUGCGGACAGUGUCUGGUGGGUAGUUUGACUGGGGCGGUCUCCUCCCAAAGCGUAACGGAGGAGCACGAAGGUUAGCUAAUCCUGGUCGGACAUCAGGAGGUUAGUGCAAAGGCAUAAGCUAGCUUGACUGCGAGAGUGACAGCUCGAGCAGGUGCGAAAGCAGGUCUUAGUGAUCCGGUGGUUCUGAAUGGAAGGGCCAUCGCUCAACGGAUAAAAGGUACUCCGGGGAUAACAGGCUGAUACCGCCCAAGAGUUCAUAUCGACGGCGGUGUUUGGCACCUCGAUGUCGGCUCAUCACAUCCUGGGGCUGAAGUAGGUCCCAAGGGUAUGGCUGUUCGCCAUUUAAAGUGGUACGCGAGCUGGGUUUAGAACGUCGUGAGACAGUUCGGUCCCUAUCUGCCGUGGGCGUUGGAAGAUUGAGAGGGGUUGCUCCUAGUACGAGAGGACCGGAGUGAACGCACCACUGGUGUACGGGUUGUGAUGCCAAUUGCAUUGCCCGGUAGCUAAGUGCGGAAGAGAUAACCGCUGAAAGCAUCUAAGCGGGAAACUUGCCUCGAGAUGAGUCUUCCCUGGACACUUGAUGUCCCUGAAGGGCCGUUGAAGACGACGACGUAGAUAGGCUGGGUGUGUAAGCGUAGCGAUACGUUGAGCUAACCAGUACUAAUGACCCGAGAGGCUUAACCUU